CUCUUUUAAGAGAAUCUCCAUAAUACAUUACCAAAAUCUACAGAAAAUUAAUUUAAAACAAACAAACGAACUUAAAGAGCGAGAGAGAAAUAAAACCAAAAAAAGAAAGGAUUAGGUUCAUUUGGACCAGUCUACCGGGCCACGGUGGAUCAAGGUGGCACCAACCCGUUAUCCUUCCACUGCAAAGAGCGGGAGGUAGGCGUUGCUCUGUGAACCCAGCCUCACGCGGUGCCCUCCCCUUUAGGAGCCACGUGGCCCAGAGCUUUCGCUCAGAUCACAUGGAACAACUCUUUGCUUGGAAUGGGCAGGCUAGUAAAGAGCCACACCAGACCCGACCCGUUAAUUCUGGGCCAAAGUUCCAUCACCUCAAUGCCCUCACUCGAGUUGCAAGCUCUCGUUACUUAGCUCGGCAAUGUUCCUUCGCCUUCCUGCGGUUAUAAAGCGUUCUGUCUAAACUCGGCAUGCCGAUGUGGGACUAUUUCUUCAACACUUGUUGUAGCUCUCUCUUCUUUUGGCAUAAGUGACUUUAAGGUCUAUUUUGAAGCUCAAAUUUUCAUCCAUGACUAAUUAUUUGGUACUUUCCAAUACAGAUUAGGAAGAUAACCUAAUUCUAUCAGUGCAGAAUCACUAAAAACGGCUAAAUCAAGAGUUAGAAGCUUUUUGUUCCAACACCAAAAUGUUAUCAAGACUGCUGCAUUUUUCAAUUCUUCACACAUAGUUCAGUCAGUGUAGCUUUUAUACAAGCCUUGAGACUUCCACUUAGGUCCAACAAAUUUGAUAACACAGGGCAAUCUGUAUCGUUAGCCGCAGAAAAAGGAAGCAAACCCUUUCCAUUAUCUUUGCUCUCUCCCGUAUUUCUCCAAGCUUGGCAAGAAUUUUAGACAGAGGGUCUUGGCCCUCUCCAUCAUCUUUUGGGCAUUGAGGAGUCUUCCCCUACAUUCUAGCCUUCAUCUCUCCGAGACUAAGGGCUAGUUUCAGAUUCCGGUGCCUUACAAAUAAGCUAACCCGGUCCAGUUAAUGAAAGUUUACGAUUGAAUGCAAAGCAAACCAUGCAGAAAAUCCACUCCACAACAGAAUCAUGUGAGUUCACCUCAAACCCGAACACAGAGCAUCUUGCUGCUGUUCAACCAUGUUGUGGUACUUUAUCUCUUCACUCCUCCUAUACUUACUUUCUGUAUCUCUUCAGCAUUUGCUAAUCUCUUGGCUUGUAUAAACUAAUCUCUCAUUCAAGUGCUAAUAUCACUCAUUUCCUCAAGUUUGAGUUGAAAGUCUUCUU
This 1276-nucleotide long non-coding RNA is filed under the name Prunus dulcis (almond). RNAcentral's name for it is "sRNA ncRNA". Lineage: Eukaryota; Viridiplantae; Streptophyta; Magnoliopsida; Rosales; Rosaceae. The record is from RNAcentral.